Molecule: ribosomal RNA, 561 nt
Filed under: Curvularia geniculata
Lineage: Eukaryota; Fungi; Ascomycota; Dothideomycetes; Pleosporales; Pleosporaceae
Description: eukaryotic LSU rRNA
Rfam family: 5.8S ribosomal RNA (bases 192-345)
Source: RNAcentral
CGUAGGGGAACCUGCGGAGGGAUCAUUACACAAUACAAUAUGAAGGCUGUCCGCAGCUGGAGUAUUUUAUUACCCUUGUCUUUUGCGCACUUGUUGUUUCCUGGGCGGGUUCGCUCGCCACCAGGACCACCAAAUAAACCUUUUUUAUGCAGUUGCAAUCAGCGUCAGUACAAACAAUGUAAAUCAUUUACAACUUUCAACAACGGAUCUCUUGGUUCUGGCAUCGAUGAAGAACGCAGCGAAAUGCGAUACGUAGUGUGAAUUGCAGAAUUCAGUGAAUCAUCGAAUCUUUGAACGCACAUUGCGCCCUUUGGUAUUCCAAAGGGCAUGCCUGUUCGAGCGUCAUUUGUACCCUCAAGCUUUGCUUGGUGUUGGGCGUUUUUGUCUUUGGUCGCCCAAAGACUCGCCUUAAAGUGAUUGGCAGCCGGCCUUUCUGGUUUCGCAGCGCAGCACAUUUUUGCGCUUGCCAUCAGCAAAACGGCAAUCCAUCAAGCCUCCUUCUCACGUUUGACCUCGGAUCAGGUAGGGAUACCCGCUGAACUUAAGCAUAUCAAUAGGCGG